UUAGGAAUAUUCGUCAAUGGAGGAAACUCUGAACGAGCAAUGCCGCGUGAAGGAUGACGGUCCUAUGGAUUGUAAACUUCUGUUGUUAGGGAAGAACGACUUAAGUAGGAAAUGACUUAAGAGUGACGGUACCUUUCAAGAAAGCUCCGGCUAACUACGUGCCAGCAGCCGCGGUAAUACGUAGGGAGCAAGCGUUAUCCGGAUUUAUUGGGUGUAAAGGGUACGUAGGCGGCCUCAUAAGUCUGUGGUUUAAGUCCGAAGCUUAACUUCGGUUCGCCACAGAAACUGUUUGGCUUGAGUAUGGUAGAGGCAAGUGGAAUUUCUAGUGUAGCGGUUAAAUGCGUAGAUAUUAGAAGGAACACCAGUGGCGAAGGCGACUUGCUGGGCCAUUACUGACGCUGAGGUACGAAAGCGUGGGGAGCAAAUAGG
RNAcentral lists this ribosomal RNA (429 nucleotides) under uncultured Bacillota bacterium. Its description in RNAcentral is "bacterial SSU rRNA". It matches the Rfam family "Bacterial small subunit ribosomal RNA", at positions 355 to 776 of the family's 1533-position model. Lineage: Bacteria; Bacillati; Bacillota. The record is from RNAcentral.